Molecule: non-coding RNA, 109 nt
Filed under: Terribacillus aidingensis
Lineage: Bacteria; Bacillati; Bacillota; Bacilli; Caryophanales; Bacillaceae
Description: SAM-I sequence
Rfam family: SAM riboswitch aptamer (S box leader)
About the family: The SAM riboswitch is found upstream of a number of genes which code for proteins involved in methionine or cysteine biosynthesis in Gram-positive bacteria. The SAM riboswitch acts at the level of transcription termination control.
Source: Rfam by way of RNAcentral
UUCUUAUCAAGAGAGAUGGAGGGACUGGCCCCGCGAAAUCUCGGCAGCGGAACUUAAUUCUUUAAGUUGCUGUGCCAAAUCCAGAAAGCUGAGGCUUGAUAGAUAAGAA